Gambusia affinis (western mosquitofish) is the source of this 403-nucleotide long non-coding RNA. RefSeq lists it as uncharacterized. NCBI's taxonomy places the organism in Eukaryota, Metazoa, Chordata, Actinopteri, Cyprinodontiformes, Poeciliidae. The record is from RefSeq and is a predicted model, not a curated record. The transcript is spliced from 5 exons.
GGUAUAAAAGAGAAGCUCAACAUCCAAAGAGCAACACUACAGCCUCUUCUCUUGUCUCUGAGAAAACCUACUGAAGGUAAAAUCACUGCAGCCAUGCUGAAGGUCGCACUUAUUCUUGGAUGCCUCCUGAGCCUCAUUGUGGCUGAGACUAUGGAGCACCAGCGUUUUGCUCGUUCAAGCUCUGGUUCUAACUCCAGAGAGACCACCACAACUACGGCUGCAGGAGCAACUGCAGCUUCAUUAACUCUGGCCCAGCUCCUGGCCCUGCUCCGACAACUACUCAAUCAGUGAUGAUGAAGUUCAUUGGCUGCUCUUUUAACCAGAUGCCGUUUAUUCACCCAACAAUUGGACAAAUAUCAUUUUCCACCAAGUUCUGACUAAAAAUAAACAUUUUCAAUGCAAA